Molecule: ribosomal RNA, 406 nt
Filed under: uncultured bacterium
Lineage: Bacteria
Description: partial 16S ribosomal RNA
Rfam family: Bacterial small subunit ribosomal RNA
Source: RNAcentral
AUUGAACGCUGGCGGCAGGCUUAACACAUGCAAGUCGAGCGAGCGGCGGACGGGUGAGUAAUGUCUGGGAACCUGCCUGAUGGAGGGGGAUAACUACUGGAAACGGUAGCUAAUCCCGCAUACCAUCAGAUGUGCACAGAUGGGAUGAGCUAGUGGGUGGGGUAGUGGUUCACCUAGGCGACGAUCCCUCGCUGGUCUGAGAGGAUGACCAGCCACACUGGAACUGAGACACGGUGCAGACUCCGACGGGAGGCAGCAGUGGGGAAUAUUGCACAAGGGGCGCAAGCCUGAUGCAGCCAUUGCGCGUGUGUGAAGCAGGCCUUCGGGUUGUAAAGCACUUUCAGCGAGGAGGCGUUACUCGCAGAAGAAGCACCGGCUAACUCCGUGCCAGCCGCCGCGGUAAUAC